GCCGGGCAUGGUGGCGCAUGCCUGUAGUCCCAGCUACUCGGGAGGCUGAGGCAGGAGAAUCGCUUGAACCCAGGAGGUGGAGGUUGUGGUGAGCCAAGAUCGCGUCACUGCGCUCCGGCCUGGGUGACAGAGCGAGAUCCCAUCUCAA
This 148-nucleotide non-coding RNA is filed under the name Chlorocebus sabaeus (green monkey). The record is from Rfam by way of RNAcentral. Lineage: Eukaryota; Metazoa; Chordata; Mammalia; Primates; Cercopithecidae.